UUUUUUUUUUUUAAUCCCAACAGAAUGUUAAGUCUGAAAAACCAGAGUUUUAACCAGCUGGACAAUGAACUGCUUCGAGUUACUCGGAAAGAACAGAAUGCAACGAUUACAGAAACAUAGAGCCCGAUCCACCGUCUUCUGAAAUCUGUGAGAACACUUCGGCUGAAAUCGUUCACAAAGAGCACUGGAGAGGCCACAACUCUGAUCCUGAGCCUGUGUCUGCUAGUCGCAGAGGUCUGCAGCGUGGUCACAGCAACUCCAGUUUUAGGUAAGCUUGAAAUCUUUAUGGGUGAACAAAAGUAUAUGUUUGAAGGCUGAGAAUGGUUGUUCAUG
Dromaius novaehollandiae (emu) is the source of this 333-nucleotide long non-coding RNA. RefSeq lists it as uncharacterized. The record is from RefSeq and is a predicted model, not a curated record. NCBI's taxonomy places the organism in Eukaryota, Metazoa, Chordata, Aves, Casuariiformes, Dromaiidae. The transcript has 3 exons.